Molecule: long non-coding RNA, 5241 nt
Organism: Frieseomelitta varia
Lineage: Eukaryota; Metazoa; Arthropoda; Insecta; Hymenoptera; Apidae
Exons: 2
Source: RefSeq, a predicted model, not a curated record
UGUUAUAUUAUCAUUACUUUUAUUAAAUAAACAUUUAUAGCUCUACGAUAUAUUUAUAUCUCUACAUUACUUUAACUGUAGUUCGUUUAGUUGUCCUAGAUGGCCUGUAGUGUGAAGAAAUUGUAAAGACUGUGGUAAGUAAAAACGUGCUCUACAAAGAAUUAACCUCGUAAAAUUUUAUUUGGUUCGUUAUCGCGCGGACAAGAAUCGGAUCUGAGUUAAUUCUCACGGCUACGACGCUCAGAUAAUUUUGAUAGUAUCUUCUGUUUCACGGUUACGGUAAGACUGUCUCGCCGCUUGCCUAGUGAUAAGGAAGAAGUGUCCCGCGCUUUCCUAUUAUCGCGCUCCGAAAAAGGUGACACUGUCUAUAUCCCGGAGUCGCACAUUUCGGCGGAGAGAUUGAACGGAGGUAGGUGUCGCUGUGCUACAUUGAACGCGGUGUGCUAGAUGUUCAGCGGACGUAGCUGUCGCUACACUAUCGCCUUCCGAGUCGCUCGAUCUGGUAAGGAGAUGGUAUUUGUAUCCACGAAUAGAUUCAUGGUUCAUGUUCUUCGCUCUGUUCCAUAUAUGCUGGCUUCAAUCGUUCCGUCGAAAUUAUGAUUUCCUUCCCUUUGUAGUCUAUUAAAAAUACGUUGUCCGAAAUAUGCUAUAUUACGCGGUAUGGAUCCUCAUAUGGCUGUUCCAGAGGUUGCUUUAUAUGAUCUACUCGCACAAAUACAUGCGGAGUUUCGAAAAAUUAUUUAAUAAAUUUCGAAAAAUUAAAAUUUAUUAAAUAAUUUAUUAAAAAUGAAAUAUGACCAUCGUGAAUGAUGAUUUGUCGGUUUCGGUCGUAUUGUCUGAAUCUGUCUACCGUAAAAUCUUUGUGCGACUCUGUGUAGACGAAAAAUUUUCCAAGUAGUCUGAGGGGUGUACCGAAUACCAUUUCAGCCGCGAUUGCUUGUAUGUCUUCUUUAUAGCUAUUCCUCAAACCAUGACUGUUGGGAAUACUUCUAACCAGUUUUUAUUUUCGUGGCAUCUGAUUGCAGCUUUCAAGGAUCUAUGCCACCUUCUUAUCAUACCGUUGGAUGCUAGAUGAUACACUGUAGUAUGGAUAUGCCUGCAUCCAAUCAGUUUGAUUAAGGCAUUGCGUUCUGCGGUCCGUAGUUAUUGUUGACGGAGCUCUAUUGCCAGGCAAUAUCUGUAAUCAUUGGAAACGCUCUGGAACAACGAAAUGUUUCGGUAACUUGUCUAUCUAUUUCAUUUCUUUGACAGCUUAUACAAUUUCUCGCUCAGUGCAAAAUGUCUUUAUUCAUCCCCGGCUGUAUAAGUCUUUUAGCUAACAUCUGUUUAGUUAGCGAGGUUGUGUACGCUGUCGAAGAUUUUCUCUGAUUGUUUCUGUCGCAAUAAAUCAGUAUCUUCUGAAUUAUUAAUAUUCAGCUUCCUUAGCUGUAGAACUGCGUUUUGUAAGACCUGCGGUAAUUCCGAGUCUUUUAUUUGCUGUUUGGCAUGUUCUGUGGUGCUCACCACCACUGGCUACUGAUAACGUCCAGCUGUGAUAGAGUGUCUGCCACUUCGUUAUUAGAUUCCGGAAUGUGGGUUAUAUUAGCUGAAAACUGUCCUAUAUAGUCAAGUUAGCGUAGCUGUUUAGGUGAGGCUUUUUUUGAUUUCUGUAGGAAGGUGAACGUCAAUGGUUUGUGGUCAGUUUAUUAUUGUAAAGUCUCGUCCUUCGAGUAAGUGUUUCAAUUGUUUUAUCGCUUUGUAUAGGGCUGUUAUUAUUUGCGAUCGUACAUAUUAUAUUUCACUUCCGACGGCGAGUAUUUCUUUGAAAAGAAAGCUAUUGGUUCUCACAUUCUGUUCAUCUUCUGCUGAAGCGCAGCUCUACAAGCUGCGUUAAAAGCGUCUGUGAUUAGAAGUAAAGGACUAUUAUUUUUUGGAUGCACCAGAAGUACUGCGUCAGCCAACGAGUCCUCAGACGCUUGGAACGCUUUUUCGACUUCCUCUAUCCAUGUAGUUUAUCUUUUUUUUUUUUUUUUUUGCGCCCUGAAGAAAUGCAUUUAAAAAAGCCUGUGCAGCAGCGGUAUUUUCGAUGAAUCUGCGAUAAAAAUUGACCAUUUCAAGGAAACGUCUUAGUUCGGUGAUGAUCGUCGGCUUUGGGUAGUUGACUACUUUUCCUGGUACAAGCUUGGCUCCUUUCUUGUCAUGUACCCCAGGAACGGCACUGUUGAUGAUCCGAAUACGCAUUUCGCAGUUGAUCGAAAUGUCGUACUGUUGCCUAUUAAACACUUGUCGUGGUGGUUAGAAUGCUCGGACUCGUUGGCGGAGGUUAUCGUACAUCGUCGAUAUCAAAACGCAAAGUUAAGACUCCGACGAUCGACAUCUAUAAACCGUUGGAAAGUCUGAGCCGUAUUCUUUAGACCAAAUGACAUAACGCUGAAUUCGAAAAGACCGAAAGGCGUAAUUAUUGCUGUUUUUUCACGGUCUUCCGGAGCCAUUUUGGUAUCUGGUAGUAGGCUUUUUCGAGGUCAAAUGUCGAGAAAACUGUCUUUCCGUUCAACGCGUGUGUGAAGUUGUGCAAGUGUGGGAUAGGAUAUUUGUCUGGUGUCGUUUGUGCGUUCAGUCGACGGUAGUCACUAUAUAACCUUCAAACUCCACAUUUCUUUGAAACUAUGUACAGCGGUCUGGCUCAUUCGCUAGAGGACAGUUGGCAAAUUCCUUGUUGAAUCAGGAGUUGGAAUUCCUCACGACUUUGUACUUUUCCGGUGCCAAUUUGCAAGCUCGCACAUGGUCUGCUUUUGGUGAUUAUGUGGUAGCGUAUUUUGUGCUUCGGUCCGUCAUGUCUUUGUGUCGGUCUAGUAACGUCGAUGUAUCGUUUUAGCAAAGAAUCGUAUUUGUCGCCGUUUCCAUUACCUUCUGUAGUGACGAUUAAGUGGUCGUGCUUAUUUAUCCGAGUCUCUGUAUCUUUGUGUAGUCAUCUAUUAUGCGUUUGUUCGUCAGGUCCACCAGAAGACUAUAAUGCUUCAGGAAGUCGGCACCAAUAAUCGGUUGUUGCACCCUCGCGUCUAUGAAUUUUGCUGUUUAUGGACGCUGUAAUUCGAGGUCCAAAGUAAGCUCAAGCAUUUUAACAGUUUUUAUUGCACUAUUAGAUAAAUAUAUACACAGAGGGAAAUGGUCCAAACACUUAUUUCUUGCGAGAAUGUUGCAAGAGCGAAAGUAGGAGACACGCACAGGUUGCACACGCAGAAAGACACUUACGUUAAGUGGAUCUUCGGUUUUAGAAAAUGUCACUGUGUUGCUGGUGCGUUGGAGUCGACUCUUAUGUACCACGAUUUUCUUUGUGUCCUUUCCGGUCAAGGGAUCGGAAAGUACAUUGUUUUUCUGCAGUCUGUACGGUCAGGCCCAUGAGACAUUUUCGAUAAUUGUCAAAGUGUGACGGUGUCGAAGAGGGAGAGAAAAAACAACAAAUCAACUCCUGUUCAUAGCGCGGAAUUGCGCCGCAGAGAAUGUUUCUUUAACUUGUACUAGGUUUUUCGAAAAAUAAAGAUAUUUUAAACUAUUAUUUUACUCGGGUAUUACUCUAACUUAUUCUUAUACGUAGAGAAGAAUAUUAUAUUCUUAUUCUAAUCCGUAAGAAAGAAAAGAGUGAGAGACGUGAAUUAAAUGGAAGACAAAACUGAACUGUUAUUAUUACGUUUGGCAUACAACUUAUAUGUUUCGAUAGAGUGUGGUGGAAGGGGAUUUUUUUAGAAUAAUAUGUCGAGUGUAGAGGUUCUCUUUGUCCCCGGAAUUCUGUCACCUUACCCGCCAACAACGCCAACAGAUUUAUUAAAUCUGUGCUCUCGCUGGCUACUACUUAGUAUGUCGUGUAGCGAGCUAGGCACCUGUUCUAGAAAGAUUGUUCUUAGAAUGGAGUUGGGCACGUUAUUACCGGCCAGGCUCUUUAGGCAUUUAGAAAGGCAUUUAGGACGGUAGGAAGUUCGACGGGUUCUUAUCGCGCAUUCUAUAUGUCCUAAAGAGGUGACGGAUUUUCGCCUCCCCGGCCUAGCCGAGUAGCUCCUGCAACUUUCUUGACUGUUGGUACUUCUCUGCAGCUGGUGGCGAUUCCACGAUGUCCGCAUGAUGGACAGAAUGCAAUAUAACAUAGUAAUAUUUUGUUGUGUCGCUAAAUACUUUGGCAACCUGUAAAGAAAUAUGUCGGUAAAAACAACUGCGAAUUAGUAAUGGCUUAUUCUAAUAUAUCGACUUCAUUAUAUGUAAGCAUGAAUGUGUGUGAAAGCCUAUAGUAUGUAAGAUCUAUCUUUAGUGUAAAUACGUGUGUCUGACCAAUAAAACAUUAAAAUCAAAACUAAAGUGUCUUAUCAGGUUAUUGGCCCAUAUCGUCUCCUGAUGAAAAGUAAAAAACGUUAAAACAAAAAAAUCAGCUAAAAAUAGUAAAUCGAACAUGAUCGAAAGACAAAGAAUAAUGGCUACUUAUAACGGAAAUCACAGCCACGAGGACAAAUUGAAAAAUUAAAAGACGAGUCAAAUUUCUAAUUUGGAAGUUCCAAAUAACAAUUUUAUUUAAAUCAAUUAAUGCACAAAAUAUAAUAACCGGUAGAAGAAAUCCCUGCAGAAGUUUGGAAUGAUAAAAAAAAGGUCGGAUUGGGAACACAAAGACACAAAUUUUCAAAAAAUUAUAAUCACCUCAACUGAAUGAAAACCGCAGAUGCAUAUAUUAAAAUACAACAUAAAAAAAAAUGAUGGACAAAUUAACAGAAAUAUACGGAGAAGACACUAAACAGAAGAAAUGCUCUCCACUCUGCAGAACUUUACAACUGCAUAUUUGAAGAAGGAAGCGACAUAGCGUCACAUUAUAAGCACUUCGUGUGUGCGUGGGAAUCUAAGCCGAGAAACAAGAAAAAACCUUAACAAAUUCAAUAACUAGACUUGUUCGGGAGAGUUUCCGUCCUACAAUGCCUAUGGUCUGGGUGCAGGGUUGUUGGGGAAUGUUUAUGUAUUUUAAAUGACCUGAGCCUCUAACAAGCCUGUGUCGCUAUAAACCCUUGGUCUUCUGGCUGAGCUUUGUUCUACAGCAGACAAGGCCCUCGAACAUGUGUGAAACACUGGAGGCAAGGUCAUCCACCCUUUGUGCCCCUAACUUGGGCCCGCGAUUUCGCGAAGCCAAUGGAAAGGGAACCGAGAGAGCUUUCCUUCGGCUUGCGAAUUAGAAUUGGACUUCCAAUUUACAUAGAUCAUCUCUCGCAAUAUUAGAAUUACCACCGAGGG